RNAcentral lists this long non-coding RNA (2126 nucleotides) under Aquilegia coerulea. RNAcentral describes it as "long non-coding RNA (ACOE_LNC000010)". The record is from RNAcentral. Lineage: Eukaryota; Viridiplantae; Streptophyta; Magnoliopsida; Ranunculales; Ranunculaceae.
UUCGAUAAAACUUUUAUAAUACCAAAACUACCCUCACAAUCAGAGAUUUGAGUUUUCUUUCUCAAAUCCAACGCCUCUCAAAUGAGAGAUUUGUGGGUUUUCUUCUCAGCUUCUUUGUUUCUGCUCGUGUAGCUUUUUCGAUCUCCUUUUCUUCUUCCUCUCUCAUGAUUCUUCAAUCUCUUCUUCUCGUUCAAAAGACUGAUUAAUUGAUUGAUUUGUGUCGAAAUUGCAAGGUUAGUUUUUGUUUUUUUAGAUUUAUUAUGAACCAUUUUAUUGCUUUUGCUUUCAUUGAAACAAUUCUUAACCGAUUUGCUUAUAAUGCUUUUUUUUUUAAAAUAGUCAUUUCUUAUAAUGCUUUAAUUGGGGAUUUUAAAGCAACUUCUAAGGAAAUUGGAUUAUAGUUCAUGUUCUGAUUUUAUUGAUUUAUGAUUGGUGGUGGAUUGAAUUAAAUUUAGGGGUUCUGGUGAUUAAUUUGGGUUAGUCAAUUUGAUAGGGUGAGGCUCUCCCAUUACUUAAGCAUUCAUGAUGUAAUCUGUAAAGGAGAUAAUCUUUUCCAUAUUCUUCCUAAAGAGUACACAUUCAGAGUGAUCAUUGGGAAGAUGGGUUCAAGUCCUCAUUCUUACUCAUGUGUUCAUUUUUAGUCAUUUAUGUUCAAUAAUGCCAAUAAGAGAAAGUGGCUGAGUUUUGAAGAGUUUGCACUGUAAAUUAGACAUGGUUUUCAGAAUGGUUCUUGUGGAUAAUUGAAUACUUUGGGAUGGUGGUGGAAUAUUGAUAGACUGUAUAUUCAGCUAGAUUUAGAUCAUUCAUUAAUAAAGGUGCAUGGCUGCUAUCGACGUAACCUGGUCGACCCAUGAGUCUGAAGAAGAAGGCCUUCCUGACCUGAAAUAAACUUCAUGUUUGAGAAAACAGUCCAAAUACAUUCAUUUAGUACACAAAAAACACUUGAAUUGCGAGAAACAAAUUAAUUUUCACUUACCAUUUUUGUAUUCCUGGGAAAUUAAUUAUAUAUAUGUCAAAUAACUUAAAUAGUUAAAUAUGUAAGCUGAACCUUAAUUUGUACAAACCUGCUCAUGCUUAUGACUUCAGAGCCUCUAGAAACUGCUAUUUUGCAUAUAGCAGAAUCGACAAAACCAUUUCCUCCUAAAACUACAACCUACAAAGAAUAUAUGGCAAACCAAAAUGAUAGAUAGAGAUUAAUAAGCUUUUAAUACAUAUACCCACUCAGUUUUGACAUCGGGCGACAAUAUCAAUUGGAGGAGUUGUAAAUUUAUUUGUUUAUUCACUUCACCACAACUAUUUUGUUUCGUCCAAGGUGGAGAGGUGGAUCCCUUUAUUAAACAAGUAGCUUGCUUGUUUCUGUUGGAUUGGGGAUGGUGGGAGGGGAUGAAGCUACAGCUACACUUGUCUGGACACAUUGCGUAUAGUGCCUUGUUGGUACGCAAUGACAAAAAAAGAAAUAUUAGUUCACUUAAUAGUACUUUGAGAAUAUUUUCAUUACCUAAGCACUCUAUUCUGUUCAACUGGAGGUUUGUCAGAUGUAUAUGACUAAAACGUGUUUCAUUCUUGUUGUAAAAUUCACAGAUUGAUUCGGAUAUGGAAGAUCAUGCUUGAUUGCCAUCAUGCUUAGUGUGUAACAAAGAUUCAACCAUGGAUCAUGUCCGCAAAGAAUCGCAAAAGCAGGCUAUUAUUGCUCAACUUCAGCAUGAGAUUGAAUUCUUUGGGUCAAGCUUCAAAGAUUGGAAUGAUGCGCACAGAUCCUAUGUUGAAGCACUUGAUGGUUGGCAGCUGGUUGUGUCAAAUUACAAGACUACUAAACUUUGAGGAGUGGUAUAAUUAGUUUUGUUAAAAUCAUCUGUGAUGAGGUUGAGAUACAUAUUUGUCAAAAUUAUGCUUUGUGGGAAUCACAUUCUUAUUACAAAUGAGUAGGCUCUUUGGUUUUUUUUUUUUUUUUUAUAGACUCACCACAUAGAUCAAACAGGAAAUACCAGUAGCUCAUUAGAAAUUUGUAAAUCUUUUGAUAAAUAACAGCUGCUAAUUUCGUAUGUAUUAAGGCGUCUUUGCACAAUGCAUGGAUCUCUAUCUUUCGAUAUAUUAUGUCAGACUGAAUUUUCAGCUCAGAGACGCAU